This is a long non-coding RNA of Lagopus leucura (white-tailed ptarmigan), 1410 nucleotides long. RefSeq lists it as uncharacterized. The transcript has 9 exons. The record is from RefSeq and is a predicted model, not a curated record. NCBI's taxonomy places the organism in Eukaryota, Metazoa, Chordata, Aves, Galliformes, Phasianidae.
CAUCUGUCUCCAGCAGUGAUCCCUGACAGCUGGAGGAAUGUGAGGAGCUGGGCAGGUCGACUGCCUUGCCCCAGGAGCGAGGUGGCGGUUUUCACUCAGAAACCAGCACUGAGAGUAAGAAGUGGGCAUCAGUGUUCUUGAGACAUCUGUCAGUGUCUGCAGCAAGAUCCCAUCUGAUAAAGAAAUAGGUUUAUUCCAUGAACAGAAAAGAAGACAGCACUCCUGAUCCUCCUCUUCAUCACAUACCAGCAAGAUUUCAGGGUGGCAAUCUUUGAAGAGAUUCUGAAACAUCAAAUCAGGAAACGAUGGGAAUAAGCUGAUUUCUUCCUGAGAUAACACUGAGAACAUCGUUGCAUGUCUGAUGGAGAACAGAAAACGAGUGAGAAAGUCUGGACUGUGCUGUCACACAGAGCAGCUGCUCCACCCCACAUCACACGCUGUGCCCUUGCAGAGCCUUCCCCAUCCCCAGCUCAGGGCCUACCCUGCACCCUGUGCUUAGCAAGGGGCCACCAGCUGUGGAGCCGGCUGAUUCACAACAGGUGGCAGAAAACUAGUCUGUCCUAGUAAGAACCUCGCUAGCUGUGAGGUGAGCUUGAAGCAUCUGCUCUGCAGCAGAUGAGAGUGCAAAAGGAGUGAGGAGGAUGUCCCUCUGUGAAGCUUUUCCACAUCUCUGGGGAGGAGAAGGAGCAAAGCAAUGGUGCUGCUGCUGCGUGUGGGAGCGACUGGUCUGCUAAAGAAUUACAGCUUUCCAGUGCCAGCUCAAACACCGAGGAAUCCCUGCCACCAUAAAACUAUAAUUGCUGAAUUAAUAACAGCGGGUUCUGGAGAGUGACUGCAAGACUCUGUGACCCAGGAACAAAUUCUGCAGCUGGUGCCACAUGGCCCCACAGCUAUGAUGCUCCUCAGGACUGGGAUCUUUAUGCUCUUCAAACAGGAUAAUAGCAGAUCACAGGUCACUCAGAAUUGAAUAUCCUCAUCCCAAGGCUGUCAGCCACACCACGUCCUGUCCCUGCUGACUGCCCGGCAACGAUGGCAACACGUCUGCAUGGAUGUGGACAUGGAAGCCCAAUGUGUGUCAUCUCCUCUGAGGCUGCUCGAGUUGCUCUUCAGUGCUUCAAGGGGAAAGAAAGAGCAGAGAAAUAAUAAGGCUUUGUAUGAGUGGUGAGACUCCAGUUUGUACUGUGAUGGCUGUUCACCAUUGGAUCUACUUCUAACAGAUGGGACAGAGAUGCAGGCAGGGUGGAGGGGCUGCAAAGGCAACUGAUGGAGAAGUUUCUUUGGAGCUUGCCAUUCUUUGUGCUUCAUUUAUAUUUCAUUAACCAUGAAAUUGUGUUUAUAAUUGUAUUAGACAGCUGUAUGAGAUAUUAGAUCAUAAGCCCGGCUUGAAUUAAAGCCAUUUUUAAUUAGUUA